CUAAUCGGUGUGCCUCACUGUGUCUAUGGCUGUUAGAAUACUGUUUGCUGAACACGAGUGUGUUAUUUUGGAAUAAUUGAUGUUAACCUUGUUUAUGAAAAUAGGGCCCAGGUUUAGCUUUAUACCAAUAUCGCUACUUCUGUGUAGUUGUUUUGUGCUAGUCUAAGGGUGCUGCUCUCUUUGUGUUUUGGUUUUGAAAUUGUUUGUUGUUUUUACUACCUUGCAUAGGUUAACUAGCAAUCUCUCUCAGUAGAGAUUUCUUUUUGGUUAUAUUGUUUUCAUUGGUUUAAGCAGCAUCCAAUCGGCCCUUUUUCUGUUACAGUUUCCAGCGUGUCAGUUGUUACCCUUUGAAUAAAUAACUUUUCUUUACCAAAUCUGGGCAGGUGCCAAGUCCUGCUGGAAAAAGAAACCAACAUCUUCAUAAAGCUUGUCAGCAGAUGGAAGCAUGAAGUGCUGUAAAAUCUCCUGGUAGACAGUUGCAUUGACUCUGGACUUGAUAAAACACAGUGGACCAACACCAGCAGACGACAUGGCACCCCAAAUCAUCACUGACUGUGAAAACUUCACUCUGGACUUCAAGCAACUUGGAUUCUGUGCGUCUCCACUCGUCCUCCAAACUCUGGGACCUUCAUUUCCAAAUGAAAUGCAAAAUUUACUUUAAUCUGAAGAGAGAUCUUUGGACUACUGAACAACGGUCCAGUUCCUUUUCUCCUUAGCCCAGGGUUCCAUCUGUGCCUGGUGGCUCUUGGUGCACUGAUUCCAGCAUCAGUCUACUCCUUAUGAAGCUCCCCCAAGUUCUUGAAUCGGCUGUGUUUGACAAUCCUUUCAAGGCUGCAGUCGUCCCUGUUGCUUAUGGACCUUUUCCUACGACACUUUAACCUUCCAGUCAACUUGCCAUGAAAAUGCUUUGAUACAGCACUCUGCGAACAGACAGCCCUUUUAGCAAUGACCUUCUGUGGCUUAUACCCUCCUUGUGGAGGGUGUUAAUGAGUGACUUCUGGACAACUGUGAAGUCUGACGUCUUGUGCAUGAUUGUGGUUGUGUGUACUGAACCAGACUGAGAGAUUAAAGGCUCUUCUCAGGUUGA
Molecule: long non-coding RNA, 1087 nt
Organism: Micropterus dolomieu (smallmouth bass)
Lineage: Eukaryota; Metazoa; Chordata; Actinopteri; Centrarchiformes; Centrarchidae
Exons: 2
Source: RefSeq, a predicted model, not a curated record